This 73-nucleotide transfer RNA is filed under the name Patescibacteria group bacterium. RNAcentral's name for it is "tRNA-Ile". It matches the Rfam family "tRNA". Rfam says of the family: Transfer RNA (tRNA) molecules are approximately 80 nucleotides in length. The record is from RNAcentral.
GGGCCUGUAGCUCAAUGGUUAGAGCGCCAAGCUUAUACCUUGGUGGUUCCUGGUUCGAAUCCAGGCGGGCCCA